This 305-nucleotide ribosomal RNA is filed under the name uncultured bacterium. Its description in RNAcentral is "bacterial SSU rRNA". It matches the Rfam family "Bacterial small subunit ribosomal RNA", at positions 334 to 631 of the family's 1533-position model. The record is from RNAcentral.
UACGUCCUACGGGAGGCAGCAGUGGGGAAUUUUGGACAAUGGGCGCAAGCCUGAUCCAGCUAUUCCGCGUGUGGGAUGAAGGCCCUCGGGUUGUAAACCACUUUUGUAGAGAACGAAAAGACACCUUCGAAUAAAGGGUGUUGCUGACGGUACUCUAAGAAUAAGCACCGGCUAACUACGUGCCAGCAGCCGCGGUAAUACGGAGGAUGCGAGCGUUAUCCGGAUUUAUUGGGUUUAAAGGGUGCGCAGGCGGAUUUUUAAGUCAGCGGUCAAAUCGUGGGGCUCAACCCCAUCCAGCCGUUGAA